Maylandia zebra (zebra mbuna) is the source of this 1052-nucleotide non-coding RNA. Lineage: Eukaryota; Metazoa; Chordata; Actinopteri; Cichliformes; Cichlidae. The record is from RefSeq and is a predicted model, not a curated record.
AAUUAACAUAUUUAACAUAACAUAUUUAAUUUAAUUGAAAUCAUUACCGAACGUGGUUAUUGAUUUCUCUAUAUGCUUUUUAUUUGUAAUAACUGCGAUCUCUCAGCUCAUUUGCUUCAGCAAGAGGCUGCACUGGAGAGUGGACCUUGUCACAUGUGAGCCACCCACAUCAACAGGAUGGGAACUCAUGUGGAGUGCAUGUCAUAAUGUUUGCCCAAUCUCUCAUUGACGGUAAAACACAAGUGGAGGAGUACAACACUGAAAUCACAAAGCUCAGGUCCCGACUUUGCCACUACUUAUUUUCCUCAAUAGAUCGAACUAGGAAGUGCAGUCAGUGCUGGUGUGUGAUUGCAGCCAAAGACCGGGUGCAGUGCCAGAAAUGUGGUGCAUACAAGCACAUGCAUUGUUCAAAGUCUGUUUGUGGCAUCUGUAUCUUCUGUGAGAGGCCGUAAAGCCAAACUGCCCGCAAUGAUUCUUGACAGGCCUAAGAAGGCCAAAACUAAAGUAACAGUGUUUAGUGUUCUGAGUGAAGAGGAGGCUGGCCCUCGGGUUUGCCGGAAGAUUGGCCUGCGAUGUCACAACAGACAUGGUCUGUAAAGGCAUCGACCAUUCAAGUGCUGAUAUGACAAAACAGACUCUUCUCAAAAUCCAACACAACCUUAAACAUGAGCUGACUGAUUCCUCAACCUUCAGUUUGCUGACACACACCUUUGACCCCGCUGCACUGGAUUCUGUCAUUUCAUUCCUGUGUGAAAAACUUGAUCUUGUCUCUUAAAUAAUGAAACCUUUUGUGACUUUUGUUUGUUCUGUAAAUCAGAAUCUUGAAAAUUGUUCAUUGUUGUUCUAAGUUUGUGUUAACUAUUUGGCAAAAAUGAUUGGUUCCUAAUCCAAACAGCAUAAUGACUGUUCUAACACAUAUCUUAAAAAUGCUACAAAGAAAGAAAAUUAUCACAUAUGUUUCAAUAUGAAUGUAAUUGUGUCACACUCGGUUUGUAGUAACUUUCCUGUUUUAUUUUGAGUUUUGGUAUGUUUACACUGUUAUUUUUAUUUCC